Molecule: ribosomal RNA, 1573 nt
Filed under: Hyphomonadaceae bacterium UBA684
Lineage: Bacteria; Pseudomonadati; Pseudomonadota; Alphaproteobacteria; Hyphomonadales; Hyphomonadaceae
Description: bacterial LSU rRNA
Rfam family: Bacterial large subunit ribosomal RNA
Source: RNAcentral
AGCGGUAGCGGAGCGUUCUCUAAGCUGAUGAAGCGGUUUCGUAAGGAACCGUGGAGGUAUGAGAAGUGCGAAUGCUGACAUGAGUAGCGAUAAAGGAGGUGAGAGACCUCCUCGCCGUAAGACCAAGGGUUCCUGCGCAAUGCUAAUCAGCGCAGGGUUAGCCGGCCCCUAAGGCGAGGCCGAAAGGCGUAGUCGAUGGGAACCACGUUAAUAUUCGUGGGCCAGCGGAUGGUGACGAAUGACGAAAGUCGUUUGGGCUUAUUGGAUUGCCCGGGCGGCCUGGUCGUUCCAGGAAAUAGCCUCCGCAACAGACCGUACCCGAAACCGACACAGGUGGUCUGGUAGAGCAUACCAAGGCGCUUGAGAGAACUGCGUUGAAGGAACUCGGCAAAUUACCCUCGUAACUUCGGGAGAAGAGGGCCUCUUUUUAGGGUAACCUAGGAGGAGGGGCACAAAUCAGGGGGUGGCGACUGUUUAGCAAAAACACAGGGCUCUGCGAAGCCGUAAGGCGACGUAUAGGGUCUGACUCCUGCCCAGUGCCGGAAGGUUAAGAGGAGAGGUGCAAGCCUUGAAUCGAAGCCCCGGUGAACGGCGGCCGUAACUAUAACGGUCCUAAGGUAGCGAAAUUCCUUGUCGGGUAAGUUCCGACCUGCACGAAUGGCGUAACGACUUCCCCACUGUCUCCAGCGCAGACUCAGCGAAAUUGAAUUCCCCGUGAAGAUGCGGGGUUCCCGCAGCUAGACGGAAAGACCCUGUGAACCUUUACUGCAGCUUCGCAGUGGCGCUAUCGACGGCAUGUGUAGAAUAGGUGGGAGGCUUUGAACCUUGGGCGCCAGCUUGAGGGGAGCCACCGUUGAAAUACCACCCUUGCUUUCGGUGGCGUCUAACCGCGGCCCGUGAUCCGGGUCCGGGACCCUGCGUGGCGGGCAGUUUGACUGGGGCGGUCGCCUCCUAAAGAGUAACGGAGGCGCGCGAUGGUAGGCUCAGGACGGUCGGAAAUCGUCCGGCGAGUGCAAUGGCAUAAGCCUGCCUGACUGCGAGACUGACAAGUCGAGCAGAGACGAAAGUCGGUCAUAGUGAUCCGGUGAUUCCUCGUGGAAGGGUCAUCGCUCAACGGAUAAAAGGUACUCCGGGGAUAACAGGCUGAUCUUGCCCAAGAGUCCAUAUCGACGGCAAGGUUUGGCACCUCGAUGUCGGCUCAUCACAUCCUGGGGCUGGAGCAGGUCCCAAGGGUAUGGCUGUUCGCCAUUUAAAGUGGUACGUGAGCUGGGUUCAGAACGUCGUGAGACAGUUUGGUCCCUAUCUACUGUGGGUGUUGGAAGCUUGAAUGGAUCUGUCCCUAGUACGAGAGGACCGGGAUGGACGCACCUCUGGUCGACCAGUCGUUCCGCCAGGAGCGCAGCUGGGUAGCUAUGUGCGGACGGGAUAAACGCUGAAAGCAUCUAAGCGUGAAACCCACCAUGAAACGAGGCUUCCCUCGAGAGCCGUGAUAGACCAUCACGUUGAUAGGCUGGAUGUGGAAGCGCCGCGAGGCGCGGAGCUGACCAGUACUAAUCGCUCGAUUGGCUUGAUC